RNAcentral lists this ribosomal RNA (253 nucleotides) under uncultured bacterium. RNAcentral describes it as "partial 16S ribosomal RNA". It matches the Rfam family "Bacterial small subunit ribosomal RNA", at positions 524 to 776 of the family's 1533-position model. The record is from RNAcentral.
UACGAAGGGGGCUAGCGUUGUUCGGAAUCACUGGGCGUAAAGGGCGCGUAGGCGGCCGAUCAAGUCGGGGGUGAAAGCCUGUGGCUCAACCACAGAAUUGCCUUCGAUACUGUUUGGCUUGAGACCGGAAGAGGUAAGUGGAACUGCGAGUGUAGAGGUGAAAUUCGUAGAUAUUCGCAAGAACACCAGUGGCGAAGGCGACUUUCUGGCUUAUAACUGACGCUGAGGCGCGAAAGCGUGGGGAGCAAACAGG